GACCGAGUGCUCGGAGGAGCGUCGAGUGACUGAUUCUGUGGCUCCGCCCCCCGUGAAAGGCGGGAGAGUGGUGGCGACCGGAGGGGCUGGGCUGUUCGUCCGUAUCCGGUUUCACGCUGAUGCUCCUUUGCAAUGGAGGUAAACUGAGGCUCGGUGAAAUAAAGUGACCACCUGCUUGUACUAUUGGAAAGUCACAGAUCAUAGAAUUGGGACCUAGGAACAAGAGCUACAUCCACGGGCAUUCGAGUGAGAAGGACCUGGGUUGCAAUGAGUAGUAGCAAGUGGCUGGGGGGCUGUCUUCUGCCACCUCCGUCUUAUUGGUUCCAGUUCAAAUGCCACUUCCUCAGAGGUGCCUUCCUCACCGCUGGCAACCCAGUUCUCCCUGUAUCUCCCACCGCUGCAGAGAGCUAUGGGAUUUGGAGGCAUGGCAGCCUGAAUCCCAUCUGGGUCCUGGGAUCCUCCUCCUCUCUGCU
This is a long non-coding RNA of Nycticebus coucang (slow loris), 473 nucleotides long. RefSeq lists it as uncharacterized. NCBI's taxonomy places the organism in Eukaryota, Metazoa, Chordata, Mammalia, Primates, Lorisidae. The transcript is spliced from 3 exons. The record is from RefSeq and is a predicted model, not a curated record.